CAGUGGGGAAUAUUGGACAAUGGGCGAAAGCCUGAUCCAGCCAUGCCGCGUGUGUGAAGAAGGCCUUCGGGUUGUAAAGCACUUUAAGUUGGGAGGAAGGGCAGUANGUUAAUACNUUGCUGUUUUGACGUUACCGACAGAAUAAGCACCGGCUAACUCCGUGCCAGCAGCCGCGGUAAUACGGAGGGUGCAAGCGUUAAUCGGAAUUACUGGGCGUAAAGCGCGCG
RNAcentral lists this ribosomal RNA (227 nucleotides) under gamma proteobacterium SCGC AAA487-I08. RNAcentral describes it as "partial 16S small subunit ribosomal RNA". It matches the Rfam family "Bacterial small subunit ribosomal RNA", at positions 352 to 571 of the family's 1533-position model. Lineage: Bacteria; Pseudomonadati; Pseudomonadota; Gammaproteobacteria. The record is from RNAcentral.